GAUGAACGCUAGCUACAGGCUUAACACAUGCAAGUCGAGGGACCGGCGCACGGGUGAGUAACACGUAUCCCACCUGCCCUUUACUCGGGGAUAGCCUUUCGAAAGAAAGAUUAAUACCCGAUAGAAAGGAUGGGGAUGCGUUCCAUUAGGUUGUUGGUGAGGUAACGGCCCACCAAGACCUCGAUGGAUAGGGGUUCGGAGAGGAAGGUCCCCCACAUUGGAACUGAGACCCGGUCCAAACUCGUACGGGAGGCAGCAGUGAGGAAUACUGGUCAAUGGGCGCUAGCCUGAACCAGCCGAGUAGCGGGAAGGAUGAAGGCUUAUGGGUCGUAAACUUCUUUUAUAUAAGAAGAUGUAUUAUAUGAAUAAGGAUCGGCUAACUCCGUGCCAGCCGCCGCGGUAAUUC
This 406-nucleotide ribosomal RNA is filed under the name uncultured bacterium. RNAcentral's name for it is "partial 16S ribosomal RNA". It matches the Rfam family "Bacterial small subunit ribosomal RNA", at positions 28 to 526 of the family's 1533-position model. The record is from RNAcentral.